This 492-nucleotide ribosomal RNA is filed under the name uncultured bacterium. RNAcentral describes it as "partial 16S ribosomal RNA". It matches the Rfam family "Bacterial small subunit ribosomal RNA", at positions 29 to 507 of the family's 1533-position model. The record is from RNAcentral.
AGUGAACGCUGGCGGUAGGCCUAACACAUGCAAGUCGAACGGCAGCACAGUAAGCGCUUGCUCUUACGGGUGGCGAGUGGCGGGCGGGUGAGGGAUACAUCGGCAUCUACUUUUUCGUAGGGUAUCACGUAGGGACACUUACGCUAAUACUGCAUACGACCUACGGGUGGAAGCAGGGGAUCUUCCGCCCUUGCGCGAUUGAAUGAGCCGAUGUCGGAUUAGCUAGUUGGCGGGGUAAAGGCCCACCAAGGCGAAGAUCCGUAGCUGGUCUGAGAGGAUGAUCAGCCACACUGGAACUGAGACACGGUCCAGACUCCUACGGGAGGCAGCAGUGGGGAAUAUUGGACAAUGGGCGCAAGCCUGAUCCAGCCAUACCGCGUGGGUGAAGAAGGCCUUCGGGUUGUAAAGCCCUUUUGGUGGGAAAGAAAAGCAGCGGGUUAAUACCCCGCGGUUCUGACGGUACCCAAAGAAUAAGCACCGGCUAACUUCGUG